ACGAGGGGUGCAAGCGUUGCUCGGAAUUAUUGGGCGUAAAGGGUAGGUAGGUGGUCUCAUUUGUCUGGGGUGAAAGCCUUGAGCUUAACUCAAGAAGUGCCCCGGAAACGGUGAGACUGGAGUCUUGGAGAGGGUCGUGGAAUUCCCGGUGUAGCGGUGAAAUGCGUAGAGAUCGGGAGGAACACCAGAGGCGAAGGCGGCGACCUGGACAAGCACUGACACUCAACUACGAAAGCGUGGGGAGCAAACAGGA
This 253-nucleotide ribosomal RNA is filed under the name uncultured prokaryote. RNAcentral's name for it is "partial 16S ribosomal RNA". It matches the Rfam family "Bacterial small subunit ribosomal RNA", at positions 525 to 777 of the family's 1533-position model. The record is from RNAcentral.